GACGAACGCUGGCGGCGUGCUUAACACAUGCAAGUCGAGCGGUAAGGCCCUUUCGGGGGUACACGAGCGGCGAACGGGUGAGUAACACGUGGGUGACCUGCCCUCAGCUCUGGGAUAAGCCUGGGAAACCGGGUCUAAUACCGGAUAUGACUCCAUGACGCAUGUUGUGGGGUGGAAAGCCUUGUGCGGCUGAGGAUGGGCCCGCGGCCUAUCAGCUUGUUGGUGGGGUGAUGGCCUACCAAGGCGACGACGGGUAGCCGGCCUGAGAGGGCAACCGGCCACACUGGGACUGAGACACGGCCCGGACUCCUACGGGAGGCAGCAGUGGGGAAUCUUGCGCAAUGGGCGAAAGCCUGAUCCAGCCAUGCCGCGUGAGUG
RNAcentral lists this ribosomal RNA (378 nucleotides) under uncultured bacterium. Its description in RNAcentral is "bacterial SSU rRNA". It matches the Rfam family "Bacterial small subunit ribosomal RNA", at positions 28 to 407 of the family's 1533-position model. The record is from RNAcentral.